Taeniopygia guttata (zebra finch) is the source of this 1212-nucleotide non-coding RNA. NCBI's taxonomy places the organism in Eukaryota, Metazoa, Chordata, Aves, Passeriformes, Estrildidae. The record is from RefSeq and is a predicted model, not a curated record.
AAGCUUGGCAUUAGAAACCUCCGUAAACAAGUAUGCACUAACUGCUCUCAGUGCAAGAUUAAGAGGUUUCAUAACCAAGAAGAAGAAAGUAAGGCUUACAAUAAUUCCAAAUUUAGCACUGUACUAAACCCUGUUAUGCUCUCCCUGCAAAGAGGGACAGGAAAAAACAAAGGGAUUAAUCAGAAAUAGCACUCACCACACUUCUCUCUCUCCUAUUGAGAACUCUCCUGAUGAAGUGAGCAAAACUGGGUAACACAGUCCAGCAAAAACCUCACCAAGUCCAUAUUUUACAGUGAUACUGGAACACUGCCAGCAAGCCUGGUUUUGAUCUGAAGUACUGUAAGAUUUUUUUCAUAAAUCCAAUAUAAGCACUGGAACAGCAGAAUAUUGGCAGAAUUGCUUUGGAUGCUUGAGAAGGAAGAAGAAGAAAGGAGAAAUAGCUAAGUAUACAUUCAAGAGCUUGAAGCUAAAGCUGUGUCUAUUAUCAAGCCAUAUUUCUAGGACUUUGCACUACUGCCAGCCUUCCAAAAAUUCUGAAGUGAAAAAUGAAGAUAUUAAACAAGAAUGACCAAGAUUUACAAGAAACAAACAAAGGAGAUGAGCAGUUGCAAUACAAAUCUAGGAGAUCCAAAAGAGAAGAAAAUGAGAAAAACAAAGCCACAACUUAUUUCUACACAUUUCCCACCUGCCAUGAAUCCAAAAAACACCAUCAAGUACACACCUUCAUAGCAAGUGCAAUUAAAGCACCUUCUGUUGGCUUCCCCAUCAAUGUGUUGUUUCUAAUCAAGGCAUCAUUGCACACACAACCAGCCUAAAAGAGAAGAAAAGAGGAGAAAACAGAAGACAAAGUAAAUACCAUAAAAAGCUCUUGUGCUACAUCAUCAGCUAAAACUCACCUUUUUUUUUGCCAAGAUCUUACCUCCACAAUUUUGCUAAUGGAUGGGUUGUUAUAACCAUGAAUGACUUCACCAUCGAGCAUCACUUCUCCAAACCUGUUAUAACCUACUCCAGUAACCUGCAAGACAAGCAGCCAGAGGCAGCAUGCAAUGUAGUGUUCACCAGGUUAACUGCUCUCAGCUCUUUAUUAUAAACUACAGAAGAAUUUCAAAAGGCCAUUUAUAAUGCUGCUUUUUACUCAGUGUGCAUGAAUUCUUCUUACUUAGCUUCUAAUGCAGCAACACUCUGAAUUCAAUAAAAUAUAUUAGAGACUAA